CAGUAGCCGCGGGAAUACGGAGGGAGCUAGCGUUGUUCGGAAUUACUGGGCGUAAAGCGCGCGUAGGCGGUUACUCAAGUCAGAGGUGAAAGCCCGGGGCUCAACCCCGGAACUGCCUUUGAAACUAGGUGACUAGAAUCUUGGAGAGGUCAGUGGAAUUCCGAGUGUAGAGGUGAAAUUCGUAGAUAUUCGGAAGAACACCAGUGGCGAAGGCGACUGACUGGACAAGUAUUGACGCUGUGGUGCGAAAGCGUGGGGAGCAAACAGGAUUAGAUACCCCUGUAGUCCCUGUCUCUUAUAC
Molecule: ribosomal RNA, 301 nt
Filed under: uncultured bacterium
Lineage: Bacteria
Description: partial 16S ribosomal RNA
Rfam family: Bacterial small subunit ribosomal RNA
Source: RNAcentral